This 253-nucleotide ribosomal RNA is filed under the name uncultured bacterium. RNAcentral's name for it is "partial 16S ribosomal RNA". It matches the Rfam family "Bacterial small subunit ribosomal RNA", at positions 524 to 776 of the family's 1533-position model. The record is from RNAcentral.
UACGUAGGGGGCAAGCGUUGUCCGGAAUCAUUGGGCGUAAAGCGCGCGUAGGCGGCCCGGUAAGUCCGCUGUAAAAGUCCAGGGCUCAACCCUGGAAAGCCGGUGGAUACUGUCGGGCUAGAGUCCGGAAGAGGAGAGUGGAAUUCCUGGUGUAGCGGUGAAAUGCGCAGAUAUCAGGAAGGACACCCGUGGCGAAGGCGGCUCCCUGGGACGGUACUGACGCUGAGACGCGAAAGCGUGGGGAGCGAACAGG